GCGACGACGGGUAGCCGGCCUGAGAGGGCGACCGGCCACACUGGGACUGAGACACGGCCCAGACUCCUACGGGAGGCAGCAGUGGGGAAUAUUGCACAAUGGGCGAAAGCCUGAUGCAGCGACGCCGCGUGAGGGAUGACGGCCUUCGGGUUGUAAACCUCUUUCAGCAGGGAAGAAGCGAAAGUGACGGUACCUGCAGAAGAAGCGCCGGCUAACUACGUGCCAGCAGCCGCGGUAAUACGUAGGGCGCAAGCGUUGUCCGGAAUUAUUGGGCGUAAAGAGCUCGUAGGCGGCUUGUCACGUCGGAUGUGAAAGCCCGGGGCUUAACCCCGGGUCUGCAUUCGAUACGGGCUAGCUAGAGUGUGGUAGGGGAGAUCGGAAUUCCUGGUGUAGCGGUGAAAUGCGCAGAUAUCAGGAGGAACACCGGUGGCGAAGGCGGAUCUCUGGGCCAUUACUGACGCUGAGGAGCGAAAGCGUGGGGAGCGAACAGGAUUAGAUACCCUGGUAGUCCACGCCGUAAACGUUGGGAACUAGGUGUUGGCGACAUUCCACGUCGUCGGUGCCGCAGCUAACGCAUUAAGUUCCCCGCCUGA
Molecule: ribosomal RNA, 593 nt
Filed under: Streptomyces sp.
Lineage: Bacteria; Bacillati; Actinomycetota; Actinomycetes; Kitasatosporales; Streptomycetaceae
Description: bacterial SSU rRNA
Rfam family: Bacterial small subunit ribosomal RNA
Source: RNAcentral